RNAcentral lists this long non-coding RNA (205 nucleotides) under Homo sapiens (human). Its description in RNAcentral is "non-protein coding lnc-IGFN1-2:1". The record is from RNAcentral. Lineage: Eukaryota; Metazoa; Chordata; Mammalia; Primates; Hominidae.
GCAUGGAGGGAGAUGUGAGUAAAGUGGUGAGCCUGUCACCAUUGGCCAUAUUUCAAGGACAGCAGGACAGUGAACAGACCAGCUUGUGCAGAGUUGAUGCUAUCCCUUAGGGUGUCCCUGCUGGCCAGUGAAAGGGAGAUGAGGGGGGUGGCCCCACUAGGAGCCCCAAAUCCAGUUCUGUUUUCUGUGAUGCAAAGCCACUUUG